RNAcentral lists this ribosomal RNA (443 nucleotides) under Crataegus punctata. RNAcentral's name for it is "bacterial LSU rRNA". Lineage: Eukaryota; Viridiplantae; Streptophyta; Magnoliopsida; Rosales; Rosaceae. The record is from RNAcentral.
CUGGGGUCGCGUUGAAGGCUCCGCCGAAGUAAAGCAGUGAGCAUCGUGAGCCGCCCAGAGCUCGGUGAAAGUNCACAACAAGCAACUGAGGUUUGACAACCAAUGAUUGUCGUGGCGUUCGUAGCCNGGGACUAAACAUUUGUGCCAACCACGUGUGGUGACGUACUGAAAGCCAUCNUCNGCUCACCGACGCUUCCAAGGGAGGUGCCGGGGGGGGCAACGGCGUGUGACGCCCAGGCAGGUCACCAUCGGCUUAAUGGAGGCUCCGCCGAAGUAAAGNAGUGAGCAUCGUGAGCCGNCCAGAGCUCGGUGAAAGUGCACAACAAGCAANCGAGGUUUGACAACCAACGAUUGUCGUGGCGUUCGUCGCCGGGGACUAAACAUUUGUGCCAACCACNUGUGGUGACGUACUGAAAGCCAUCGUCCGCUCACCGACGCUUCCA